GUCUGCAACCCGACUACANGAAGCUGGAAUCGCUAGUAAUCGCAAAUCAGAAUGUUGCGGUGAAUACGUUCCCGGGUCUUGUACACACCGCCCGUCACACCAUGGGAGUCGGAUAUGCCCGAAGCCAGUGACCUAACCGCAAGGAAGGAGCUGUCGAAGGUGGAGCCGAUAACUGGGGUGAAGUCGUAACAAGGUAGC
Molecule: ribosomal RNA, 198 nt
Filed under: uncultured bacterium
Lineage: Bacteria
Description: partial 16S ribosomal RNA
Rfam family: Bacterial small subunit ribosomal RNA
Source: RNAcentral